AUCCUGAGGAAACAGUGUAUGCUAAUUUCCCAGAGACCAGCCGAGAGGAGACCAGAGCGGUCGACGGACAGAGCAGAUCUGCUCCUGUGGAAAACUCAGCUGACUACAGCGCCGUCACUGCUGCAGCUUCCCGUCCUCUGAGAAAACCUGAAGACGACUCGAAUGAACUCGUCUACACUCAGGUAGAUUUUUCCAACAGAGCUGCCUCCUCACUCAGCAGCGCCCCCUCUGGUCAGGCCGAUAACGUUAUCUACUCUGCACCUCAGAGACGCACUGAUGCCAAAGUAGUUUCACAGCCUCUGUACGCAAC
Scomber japonicus (chub mackerel) is the source of this 310-nucleotide long non-coding RNA. RefSeq lists it as uncharacterized. The record is from RefSeq and is a predicted model, not a curated record. The transcript is spliced from 3 exons. NCBI's taxonomy places the organism in Eukaryota, Metazoa, Chordata, Actinopteri, Scombriformes, Scombridae.